GAUGAACGCUGGCGGCGUGCCUAACACAUGCAAGUCGAGCGGCAGCGCGGGGUGCUUGCACCCUGUCGGCGAGCGGCGGACGGCUGAGUAACGCGUGGGAACGUGCCCCAAAGUGAGGAAUAACUGCCCGAAAGGGUAGCUAAUACCGCAUACUAUCUUCGGAUCAAAGGAUUUAUCCGCUUUGGGAGCGGCUCGCGUCGGAUUAGGUAGUUGGUGAGGUAAUGGCUCACCAAGCCGACGAUCCGUAGCUGGUCUGAGAGGAUGACCAGCCAGACUGGAACUGAGACACGGUCCAGACUCCUACGGGAGGCAGCAGUGAGGAAUCUUCCACAAUGGGCGAAAGCCUGAUGGAGCAACGCCGCGUGCAGGACGAAGGCCUUCGGGUUGUAAACUGCUUUUAUAAGUGAGGAAUAUGACGGUAACUUAUGAAUAAGGAUCGGCUAACUACGUG
This 451-nucleotide ribosomal RNA is filed under the name uncultured bacterium. Its description in RNAcentral is "partial 16S ribosomal RNA". It matches the Rfam family "Bacterial small subunit ribosomal RNA", at positions 28 to 507 of the family's 1533-position model. The record is from RNAcentral.